Molecule: ribosomal RNA, 230 nt
Filed under: Vibrio splendidus 12B01
Lineage: Bacteria; Pseudomonadati; Pseudomonadota; Gammaproteobacteria; Vibrionales; Vibrionaceae
Description: partial 16S ribosomal RNA
Rfam family: Bacterial small subunit ribosomal RNA
Source: RNAcentral
AAAUUGAAGAGUUUGAUCAUGGCUCAGAUUGAACGCUGGCGGCAGGCCUAACACAUGCAAGUCGAGCGGAAACGACAACAUUGAAUCUUCGGAGGAUUUGUUGGGCGUCGAGCGGCGGACGGGUGAGUAAUGCCUAGGAAUUGCCUUGAUGUGGGGGAUAACCAUUGGAAACGAUGGCUAUACCGCAUAUGCCUACGGCCAAAGAGGGGACCUUCGGGCCUCUCGCGUCA